Long non-coding RNA from Manacus vitellinus (golden-collared manakin), 676 nucleotides. RefSeq lists it as uncharacterized. NCBI's taxonomy places the organism in Eukaryota, Metazoa, Chordata, Aves, Passeriformes, Pipridae. The record is from RefSeq and is a predicted model, not a curated record. The transcript is spliced from 3 exons.
AGCCCAUUCCCAACGAGCCUCAUCCUCCAAAGGUGUCCUCUGAAAUAGGGGAGCAAAUCCCAGCUCAGCUCCAUCUCUCCUCCCAGUUUGGCCUGACUCCUCUGGCACAGGGAUGAAACACUCCACGGAAGGAGCACAGAGCCAGCAGUUUGCCCAGCAGGUUCUGCAAAUCUUGUUCUGGAGGACAGAAUCCAUUCCUGCCUGCAGCAGGUGACGAAGAGCAGGAGGAUUAGUAGCCCUUGUCAUGAGUAAACAAACUGAGCUGCCAGCGUAUGAGACCAUGUCUGCCAAACAGAUGAAUCCUGCUCCAAGGGCAGUGGGAGAAGUUACUGCUUGUACAGAAAUUGGUGGCACCAGGAAACAACUGCUGGUGAUUUUAGGCUCUGCUGGAACGGCAUGUGAAGGUUAUAGUCAUUCCUAGCCAAACCUGUGAAUUAGUGGCUGUUCUCCAGGUCCAAACUUCAGGCCGUAAUUCUGGCUGGCGCAGCAAAGUGCAAAGUUGACAAGAUGACAAAGCAACUGAAAACAGUCAAGUGCAGUGUUGGCUCAGCGGUGUCCUCCACGCCCAGAUCUUGCAACAGCGUCCAGCUCCUCCCUGGAAACCCAGCCCGUGUCUGGAUGUGUCUGUCAGGUCUCCAGCACCCCAACUGGCCGCUUCAGCUCAGUGUAGCUCUUC